This 268-nucleotide long non-coding RNA is filed under the name Cyanistes caeruleus (blue tit). RNAcentral describes it as "lncRNA (ENSCCEG00000011915.1)". The record is from RNAcentral. Lineage: Eukaryota; Metazoa; Chordata; Aves; Passeriformes; Paridae.
CAGCAUUUCCAGCUGCAGCUCUCAUGGUUCUUGAAGCCCUGUCUCAGUUCCAGGGAUACAGACAAGAAUUUACUCUUUAUCUCACUGUAACAUUUCAGUGCUUCUCCAAAGCCAACCCCACCAAAGUGUGGUUAAAACGAUAAUGAGAGAGCUCAGGAUCACAUUGCAAUCAACAGCAAAAGGAGUGUCGGGUUCAGUGAUACCAGGACAUGGUGCUGCUGGGAUUAUUUGGUUUGGGACAACAUAUCCUGUUCAUGUUUUUGUGAAA